UACGUAGGGUGCGAGCGUUAAUCGGAAUUACUGGGCGUAAAGUGUGCGCAGGCGGCUUCGCAAGUCGAGUGUGAAAUCCCCGAGCUUAACUUGGGAAUUGCGCUCGAAACUACGGAGCUGGAGUGUGGCAGAGGAAGGUGGAAUUCCACGUGUAGCAGUGAAAUGCGUAGAGAUCGUAAGGAAGACCAGUGGCGAAGGCGGGUCUCUGGACAGUUCCUGACACUGAGGCACGAAGGCCAGGGGAGCAAACGGG
RNAcentral lists this ribosomal RNA (253 nucleotides) under uncultured bacterium. RNAcentral describes it as "partial 16S ribosomal RNA". It matches the Rfam family "Bacterial small subunit ribosomal RNA", at positions 524 to 776 of the family's 1533-position model. The record is from RNAcentral.